Molecule: long non-coding RNA, 346 nt
Filed under: Cyanistes caeruleus (blue tit)
Lineage: Eukaryota; Metazoa; Chordata; Aves; Passeriformes; Paridae
Description: lncRNA (ENSCCEG00000009830.1)
Source: RNAcentral
CAGUAACCAAAAUCCCUGCCCAACAUCAUCUUUGUUUCAGAAAGUCUGAUUAGUUAACAUAUUCCAUCACCUUGGGAAGAAAGCUGAGACAUCUAAAAUCUGGUGACUGGGCAGAAGAAGCUGGACUAAGUUCAGUCUGUUAAAAGCAGAAGACGCAAAUUAUGAAGGGAAACUGCACUGCUGAAAGAAAGACAUUUUAGGCAGUUCUGAAGACCUGGGGCAGCACUAGUCCUGUCAUAAAGAGAAAUUAAUGUUGUUAAAGAUGGCCUAGCUGCCCUCUGGGACAGCUGAAGAUGUGAAAAUAUAAGGUUCUGUUUUAAAGAUGAAAAUGAUUAAAGGCACAGAC